AAAUUGAAGAGUUUGAUCAUGGCUCAGAUUGAACGCUGGCGGCAGGCCUAACACAUGCAAGUCGAACGGUAACAGGAAGCAGCUUGCUGCUUCGCUGACGAGUGGCGGACGGGUGAGUAAUGUCUGGGAAACUGCCUGAUGGAGGGGGAUAACUACUGGAAACGGUAGCUAAUACCGCAUA
RNAcentral lists this ribosomal RNA (181 nucleotides) under Escherichia coli. RNAcentral describes it as "partial 16S ribosomal RNA". It matches the Rfam family "Bacterial small subunit ribosomal RNA", at positions 1 to 175 of the family's 1533-position model. Lineage: Bacteria; Pseudomonadati; Pseudomonadota; Gammaproteobacteria; Enterobacterales; Enterobacteriaceae. The record is from RNAcentral. RNAcentral also lists the same sequence under 2 other names.